CCUUUUUAAAGCCCAGUCUGCGCUUCUGGGCGCGUUUAAGGAGACGCGCUUUGAUAUGUUGCUUUUGGAUCUUGAUGUCCCUGAAAUUUGAGCUCUUUAACGGUGGCACUUGUGACACCAGCAACUACUUCCCCUCCCAUCGGGGGGAGGCUGCCAAACUGGACAAAUAUCGUGCAGACGAGCCACGUAAACCGGACAAACUCCUGAUAUACAUCGGCUGCAGAAACAACACACGUCCCACGACCUGACAAUGUAUGGUAAACAUUUGACAAGACUGGUGUUGGCCGAUCGAUCCGCGCGUGAAAACGACUCUUCAUCGUGCUCCCUGAACCAGUUUUCCACAGUCUGAUCCGGAUGAAUCCUGGCAUUGUCAUUCCGUGUCACAUGGUUAUUUAAGGAAUGAGAAGCUGCAUGCACCAUUUGUCAGCAUUAAAUGACUUAUUGUCAGCUAAAACAUAUUAAUCUCUUCUGUGUUUUUCUGUUGGGAGUCUUCUGUCAGAAUGACUCAGGUGGAGGAGCUGGACUGCUUCGUUAAAUGCUAACAUCACAACAGCAGCACUCCUCUCCAGCCCUGCUCCCACUCUCAACACCACCCCACUCGCUGUAAGGGAGCCCGAUGCUGAAGAAGACUCCCAUCGCCAUAGUGAUUACCAUUCUGUAACCCUCACCCUGGUAAUCAUGAAGUUCUUUGAGACACGGAUGCUCCUGCACAUCCAGAACUAUCUUCCCCAGACUUUGACCCCUAUCAGUUAAGAAGACCCUGCAGCGACUUUCCUUCCCAACAGUCCUCAGGAAACAAAAUCUGGACCACAAGCAGCUAAUCACCUUCUAGGCUCGUCCAUGAAGGGCCAGCUGAUGUACUAUACCACAGCUUGGUAUGGCAACUGCACCAUGGCAGAUAGGGUGAGGCUCCAGAGAGUGGAAUCAGCAUCACAGGAGAUCAUUAGCUCCCCUCUCUGAUGGACAUCUACACCUCCUGUCGCCUCAGCACAGCAAGGAAUAUCAUCAAGGACCAUUCCAAUCCUGGCUCUGAUCUGCUGCCUUCAGGAAGGUGCUACAGGUGUGUCAGGACAAAACAAAUGUUUCUUUCCAAAAGCUGCCUUCACCGUAAUCUCAAACUAGGACUGACUCACAGUGAAUAUAUACACACGUAUAGCUCCUUUGAACACUGGUGUUAUGUAUUAUCUUUUCUACAAUUAUGUUGUGGGCAAAGGAGGAGCAAACGGUCUAGAGGCUGUGAUGCUGGACUCCUCACUGAAGUCCGUGAAAAUCUCGUAAAUGGAAAUGGAGUCAACUAAAAGUGGCAGUGUGAGCGUCCUGUCACAGUGUCCCGGUUGACUAUGCGCCCUGGCUACUUGGCUAAGGGGUGUCCCUUUGGCUGACUGGUAAGCGCACGUGACUCUCACCCGGGAGUCUGGGAAUCGAAUCCUGCCCUGGCCCUCGAUUCUCCACCUUGCCACAUAAAUAUCCACAAAACUGUUAUGUAUUGUGUCAUUAGUUCUUCUGCAAAAGCAAAUAAAUGUUUUCAGCUA
Nothobranchius furzeri (turquoise killifish) is the source of this 1532-nucleotide long non-coding RNA. RefSeq lists it as uncharacterized. The record is from RefSeq and is a predicted model, not a curated record. Lineage: Eukaryota; Metazoa; Chordata; Actinopteri; Cyprinodontiformes; Nothobranchiidae.